CAUGCCGUAAACGAUGAUUGCUAGGUGUGGGGGGUCUGACCCCUUCCGUGCCGGAGUUAACACAAUAAGCAAUCCACCUGGGGAGUACGGCCGCAAGGUUGAAACUCAAAGGAAUUGACGGGGGCCCGCACAAGCAGUGGAGUAUGUGGUUUAAUUCGAAGCAACGCGAAGAACCUUACCAGGUCUUGACAUCCACAGAAUCCGGAAGAGAUUCCGGAGUGCCCUUCGGGGAACUGUGAGACAGGUGG
RNAcentral lists this ribosomal RNA (248 nucleotides) under uncultured bacterium. Its description in RNAcentral is "partial 16S ribosomal RNA". It matches the Rfam family "Bacterial small subunit ribosomal RNA", at positions 796 to 1041 of the family's 1533-position model. The record is from RNAcentral.